Long non-coding RNA from Canis lupus familiaris (dog), 1249 nucleotides. RefSeq lists it as uncharacterized. The record is from RefSeq and is a predicted model, not a curated record. The transcript has 3 exons. Lineage: Eukaryota; Metazoa; Chordata; Mammalia; Carnivora; Canidae.
AGUGCCUCACUGUGCCAGGUGGAAAAUGUUUUCAUCAGAAUCCCGAGGACCUGAGUGAUGGACGGCUGCUGACUUUGCACGCCUGCGUGUGUGUGUGUGUGUGCGUGUGUGCACCGGUGCCCAUGAACAUGUGUUUAAGGAGAAUGGAGGUGGGUGGCUAUUUCUUUGCUCGUUCUUUUUUUCAUUUUCCCCCUUUUUCUUUCUUUUUUAAUUACAUGUUCCUGACAAAGAGGUGUGUCCCUGGCACUGCAGCUGAGACUCUCCUCCACCUCUGACCACACGGGGAGACGAGUACAGAGGGCUUCUCAGCGCUCAGCAUGGUCCUCGGCAUCGAUGGAAACACCCGCUCCGGGCCAGCAAAGACCUGAGGCUUCUUGGGAAUGAGCAGUUUAGAAGCUCAGUUGGGAACACCUGAGUUGGCUAAGUGUGAUUCCCACUACCAUCACAUACUGAGAAGUAAACUCUAUGGCCAUCGCUGGAAAAACUCAGCAGGAAAUUGGCUAAAUCCUUACAUGUCCUCAAAUCAGUCCAUGCUUUUACUGUGGAUCGCAGAGCUUGGAUCUGGUCUUCACCAACAACUAACCUAGCUCCGAAGACACACAAGUAUCCCAUUCUCGAAAUGGGGUCAGGUACCACAGGAAUAUUUUAUUUUACUUUCUCCAAUUCAGAAGAGUCGCCUACCUCCUUCUGCUCUGGAUCCAAGUGUUCUCAGGACUUUCAGGACUUGGUGAAUUGAAGACACGGUUGGCUAUUGUGCUCCAUUUUGGACACAUUUCUCCAGCUUAUUUGUUCCAUGACAUCGUUGCUGAAACUCUCCCGAAGAGGCCUCCCUCCAAUGACGAUGGUAGCCCAAGAGGCUGCCAUCCGGUGACAUCAGACCUAUUGGCAGUAACCACAGUGGCACUUCUGACAAUAUGCCAAGAGUUCUAGGAGCCAGGCAUGAGGUGGGUAAUCCAAAUAACCAUUCCUGCCCAAGCUGCCCUCUGCUGAGACAACCCACCACUAAUUAAAGGCCAUCUGUUUAUACCAUAUAGCCUAUCCUGCCAGAAGCAGCCAGAUGUCAGCACAUUACUCUAGUCCGUGACCUCUCUUAGGAUAUUAACAUGGAUUAUUUAUGGGUGGGCUGAGUUGGUUACUGUAUAUGAGCCUCCUUCCUGGUGCAUGGCUUAAGAAAUUAUAUUAUAUAUAAACUUUAUGACGAUACCAUUAAUUUUGGGUCUUGCCAAGUUCCAGACCUAUAUGCUCUGUA